ACAAGUUUGAGGCCAUAGCAGAAGUGAUAAGGUGCGGCCUGUCAGAUUCCAAUGGAUCUGUGAAUUCUGCU
Molecule: ribozyme, 71 nt
Filed under: Crocodylus porosus (Australian saltwater crocodile)
Lineage: Eukaryota; Metazoa; Chordata; Crocodylia; Crocodylidae
Description: Mammalian CPEB3 ribozyme (ENSCPRG00005015923.1)
Rfam family: Mammalian CPEB3 ribozyme
About the family: The mammalian CPEB3 ribozyme is a self cleaving RNA located in the second intron of the CPEB3 gene which belongs to a family of genes regulating messenger RNA polyadenylation. This ribozyme is highly conserved and found only in mammals. There is currently only one other known self cleaving ribozyme in mammals, the CoTC motif.
Source: Rfam by way of RNAcentral